CCUGGCGGUAAGUAGCGCGGUGGUCCCACCUGACCCCAUGCCGAACUCAGAAGUGAAACGCCGUAGCGCCGAUGGUAGUGUGGGGUCUCCCCAUGCGGAGUAGGGAACUGCCAGGC
This 116-nucleotide ribosomal RNA is filed under the name Escherichia coli. The record is from RNAcentral. Lineage: Bacteria; Pseudomonadati; Pseudomonadota; Gammaproteobacteria; Enterobacterales; Enterobacteriaceae.